GGCCGAAGUCCAAGCUACACAAGAGGCCAGAAAUUUAAGUUCUCAUUUCUAACACUGGGGAGGUAGACUCAUAAUGUGGGAAUUCCUCCAAAUAGAAAUACUAUUCAAAAUAUGAUUUGUCAGCCAUGAAUACGACUAUGCUGACUACAGCAAGCAACAAAUGAAAACAAUAACAAUUAUGUCUUUCUCCUUCUUCUCUCCUACCUCUUCUAAGCCUAUCUUUGUCAAGUUGUCUGUGUAUUCCUUUAUCUUGUCGGCUUUGCAGGGUGAAAAGAUGAAACUACUGAAGACCAACAGGCUUCCUGUCUCUUGUGAAGCCUAUGCUCACUGAGGAAGCUACAGUGGGGCAGAGGAGGUAGGAGGGGCUGCCUUUGAGCCUGAUAAAGGAGAAAAAAUACUACUGGGAGGGGAAUGGAAGUUGGCCAAGUUCCUUGACAAGAGGAGAUGCAUGCUCUCCUUUGCUCAGAGGACAAAGGAAAUAAUGGUGCCUCAAAGAGUAUGGCUGUCCUGGAGACUGGAGCUCUGGUCAUCACAACAUUCCAUGUGUCCUACAAGGCACAGAAGCUGCAGAGCAACACAAAGGAUCCUGCGGGCUUGAACAAGGGGCUCGAACAAAAAGCAGUUACUCCACAGAAGACCAGAGGGGUCCUCCCAGCAUUGUGGCUCUAUGAGGAAACUGAGACCCAGAGAUGGAACUGGGAUUCAAAACAAUGUCUAGUGUGACUCCAGAGCCUUUCCUAACUCCUACUUAAAGCCUCUGAGGAAUGCUGAAAAGAGCACAGGACAUAGAAUCCAGUUGAGACCAGAAGCAGCAGCAGUCCUCGACAUCAACUACAACUUUCCUUCGCACAGUGCAUACCCUCUGAUAUACUGAACCCAACGCCUAUCCUCCAGCCCCCUAAGAACUAGAGAGGGAGCCUCACAACAUUCCAAUUUAAUCCUUCAGAAAAUUCAUUACUCUUCAAAGUUGUCUGUGGUUUUGUGACAACGAUAUGACUAGGUGCAAAAUGGCUUGCAACUAAUUAACAAACAUAGAAGCAUCCAACAAACAUAUACGUGCACAAUCUGAGGAUUUAGGGAUGAAAUCAGUUAUCCAGGUUAGAUAUCAACAAAAGAGCAGUAAUUAUAAAGUUUCAUGAAGAAAGUGGCUGUUGAGGUGUGGAUUAUGUAAGUAAGACUGACAACAAGAAAUGAUUUUGUUAUAAUCCAGAAGUAAAACUAAAUAAAUGUUCUUUAAAUUGAUGGAUAAAUAAGAAAGAAUUUAUUUACAACAGUAAAUAAAUCCAAUACUUGUUAUAAAUAAGAUAAAGCUGGCUAUAAAUUCACAUUUUCAUGUGAGCGUUUUGAAGUAUGUGGACAUAAAAAACACACACCUCAAGCAUACUUCUCAAUGAUUUCUGAUAAAGAACACACCUUUGUAACCAGCACAUGGUGUAAAACCAGAAACAGAACAUUACCAGAUUCCUAAACAAGCCUUCUUUGUGCCCCUUUUUAGUCACUACCCUCCCCCAUUCAAGGUAACUUCUAUCUUGACUUCUAACACCACACUUUUAGUUUUGCCUAUUGUUAACUUGAUAUAAAUAGAAUGAUACUGUAUAUUUUGUGUGUGUUUGGCUUCUUCUGCUCCAACUUUUGUUGGUAAGGUUUAUACAGAUUAUUAAAUAUAGCUAUAGUUCAUUUAUUUCUAUUACUAUGCAGUAUACUUGGAUUCAGGAAUACACCAUAACUUAAUCAUCCAUUCUAUUGUUGACUGGUUUGGCAAUUUUCUAAACAUACGCAAAUUCUAUGAACCAGCAAUUCUAUCCCGUGUAUGUGUAUAUAUACACACAUGUUAAAUAUAUACACAGAAACAUGCUGUGAAAGUGCUUUGCAAAUGGCAAAAUGUAAAAUGUAAGGAAUGUUACCAAAGAGCUGAAACGCACUGUGUCUUUCUUGCAACACAGAUUCUUGGACAUAUCAGAUAAUAAAUGUAUUUUGUAUUGAAAAUAAGAUAUUGCCACUGUUGCGCUCAGAAAUUACUAUAAGAAUUCAACGGUUGUGGGAGGAAAAGGCAGAGGAGUACUUAUCUGCAGGAAAUCUGCUGGGGCACGGCAGGUCUCAGGGACUUGUGUCUACAUGAAAACUUGAGACUUCUGAAAGAAGUGGAUACGAAAGCAGCAUGCUCAGCCCCAAAACACAAGAAAUGAAGUUCCCACAAAAUGGGAGAUUACAGAAUCCUUAACUUGACCAGAAACUCAAGUUAAGUGGGGAAAAGGUCUACAUGCUAAAGUUUGGGUCUGGUAAACAGGGUGGUAAUAGUCAAUGAGGAGGAUUAGUGUUGGAUGUCAUAGUAAAUACAGCCAUUUGUUGUCCUGUUCUAUGGCUCAAACGCAGGGAAUUUAUCCCUGGUUCCUCACGAGAAAAUUGUAAGAACCUUAAAAAGCAAACAUUAGGCCGGGCGUGAUGGCUCACGCCUGUAAUCCCAGCACUUUGGGAGGCCAAGGCAGGCAGAU
RNAcentral lists this long non-coding RNA (2492 nucleotides) under Homo sapiens (human). RNAcentral's name for it is "HSALNT0059318". The record is from RNAcentral. Lineage: Eukaryota; Metazoa; Chordata; Mammalia; Primates; Hominidae.